RNAcentral lists this ribosomal RNA (254 nucleotides) under uncultured bacterium. RNAcentral describes it as "partial 16S ribosomal RNA". It matches the Rfam family "Bacterial small subunit ribosomal RNA", at positions 524 to 776 of the family's 1533-position model. The record is from RNAcentral.
UACGGAGGAUCCAAGCGUUAUCCGGAAUCAUUGGGUUUAAAGGGUCCGUAGGCGGUUUAGUAAGUCAGUGGUGAAAGCCCCAUCGCUCAACGGUGGAACGGCCAUUGAUACUGCUGAACUUGAAUUAUUAGGAAGUAACUAGAAUAUGUAGUGUAGCAGUGAAAUGCUUAGAGAUUACAUGGAAUACCAAUUGCGAAGGCAGGUUACUACUAAUGGAUUGACGCUGAUGGACGAAAGCGUGGGUAGCGAACAGG